This 253-nucleotide ribosomal RNA is filed under the name uncultured bacterium. RNAcentral's name for it is "partial 16S ribosomal RNA". It matches the Rfam family "Bacterial small subunit ribosomal RNA", at positions 524 to 776 of the family's 1533-position model. The record is from RNAcentral.
UACGUAGGCAGCGAGCGUUGUUCGGAGUUACUGGGCGUAAAGAGUGCGUAGGCGGUUUUCUAAGUUUGGGGUGAAAUCUCCCGGCUUAACUAGGAGGGUGCGCCGAAAACUGGAAGGCUUGAGUAUGGGAGAGGUAAGCGGAAUUCCUGGUGUAGCGGUGAAAUGCGUAGAUAUCAGGAGGAACACCUGCGGUGUAGACGGCUUACUGGACCAUAACUGACGCUGAGGCACGAAAGCGUGGGUAGCAAACAGG